AAACCUGUCCGUGGCUGGCAGCCCUGUGAUACCUCGCCACAUUCUGCAACAGAAUCCGAGAUAGAGGUAGAAGUGGGGGAGUACGUCGUGGCUGUCAGGGCAGCUUUCUGUAAAAUGCUGCCUGGAGGAGCAUGUGAUUCCAGACCCUCCUCUCUGCAACGAAAGUGAGGUUGACACCUGCAGGCCUGGGGCCUCCUGGCCCACUGAGCAGAACACACAGAAGCUGGGCCCACCCCUGCCCUCCCCACAAAGGGUCACGGGAGCCACCGCCUGACUUUGAAGCCCACUGACUUGCGGCUGACAAGAGAAAAGAUGUGUCUUAGGUAACAGAGCAUGGGACAGAGCCACUGCAGCCAUGCCCAGGGAGGGCCGGGGUGAGUAAGCAUUGUGAGGUUUUGGGCAGAACGUGGCUGCACUGUGCACGCGGUGAGGGAUCGAAGGGGGCCCCCAAAGACACUCGAAGAACAGUGGGGGCCCUGAAAAGUGCCAAUGCUGAGCCCAGACAGAUGGAAGACCUUGGACAAAUUCCCCGACACCCCUGAGCCUCGAUUUCCUCAUCUGAAAAGUGGGGUGGUGAUGACAGCACAUCUCAGAGGGCUGGGAGGACGAAGCCACCAAGUGACAGCUGCGAUGGAUCCACAGGGGCAGCAGCCGAGCAACCCGAGAUCUGCAGAGCCAUGGUGGGCCCAGCCCCAUCCUGCCCCCCAUGCAGCCAGUGAGAAGCCCUGCUGCUGGAGGGGAUGGAGCUACGGGGACCGAUCAAUUACACCACAGUGUGAGGUCUCUGUGCCUUCCAAACUCCAUCCUGAGUGUUUAUUGCCUCAAAAAUGAAGGGUGGGAGCCCCAAAGACCAAACAAACAGCUGAUGAGAGAGAGAGAGAGAGAGAGAGGGAGAGAGAGAAAGAAUGGGUCUGCACUGCAGCCUGUGCUAUAACAAGAGACAGAGGGACCCUCUUGACUGGGGUCUCCAGCUGAGAGCGGGGAGGCCCCCUGGGGAGGUCUCUUCCAAGGUCUGAGGAAGGAGGAGAGGUGGAUGGGGCCUUGGGAUUAGGGAGAUGGGGCGGGGCCACCAUGUGUUGGCUGUGGGGCCCUGGGCAAGGAGUUAACCUCUCUGUGCCUCAGUCUCCUCCUCUAUAAAAUGGGUAUGACAGACAGUAAUAGUCUCUCCACCCUUAAAGGGCCGUUGUGAAGAUUAAAGAAGUGAACAAUUGUUGGUGCUUGGAGCAAAGCCUGGCUCUGGCAGUGGGCUUUGUAUUUAUGUUUGGUCAGUAUAUAAGAGUAAAUGCUUAAGACCAGCUGGGGAACCACAGCGAGAUCCCAUCUCCACAAAAAAUAAAAUUAAAAAAAAAAA
RNAcentral lists this long non-coding RNA (1351 nucleotides) under Homo sapiens (human). RNAcentral describes it as "long intergenic non-protein coding RNA 2975". Lineage: Eukaryota; Metazoa; Chordata; Mammalia; Primates; Hominidae. The record is from RNAcentral.